AUACGGAGGAUCCGAGCGUUAUCCGGAUUUAUUGGGUUUAAAGGGUGCGCAGGCGGGAGAUUAAGUCGGCGGUGAAAUUUUUGAGCUCAACUGUAAAAGUGCCUUCGAAACUGGUUUCCUUGUGUGUAGAAGAAGUAGGCGGAAUUUGUGGGGUGGUGGGGUAAUGCAUAGAUAUCACGAGGAACUCCGAUUGCGCAGGCAGCUUACUAAACUACUACUGACGCUCAGGCACGAAGGCGUGGGGAUCAAACAGGAUUAGAUACCCUGGUAGUCCACGCAGUAAACGAUGAUUACUAGCUGUUUGCAAUACAAUGUAAGCGGCUGAGCGAAAGCGUUAAGUAAUCCACCUGGGGAGUACGUUCGCAAGAAUGAAACUCAAAGGAAUUGACGGGG
This 393-nucleotide ribosomal RNA is filed under the name uncultured bacterium. Its description in RNAcentral is "partial 16S ribosomal RNA". It matches the Rfam family "Bacterial small subunit ribosomal RNA", at positions 523 to 918 of the family's 1533-position model. The record is from RNAcentral.